RNAcentral lists this ribosomal RNA (628 nucleotides) under Escherichia coli. Its description in RNAcentral is "partial 23S ribosomal RNA". It matches the Rfam family "Bacterial large subunit ribosomal RNA", at positions 1291 to 1902 of the family's 2925-position model. The record is from RNAcentral. Lineage: Bacteria; Pseudomonadati; Pseudomonadota; Gammaproteobacteria; Enterobacterales; Enterobacteriaceae.
CGAAUGCUGACAUAAGUAACGAUAAAGCGGGUGAAAAGCCCGCUCGCCGGAAGACCAAGGGUUCCUGUCCAACGUUAAUCGGGGCAGGGUGAGUCGACCCCUAAGGCGAGGCCGAAAGGCGUAGUCGAUGGGAAACAGGUUAAUAUUCCUGUACUUGGUGUUACUGCGAAGGGGGGACGGAGAAGGCUAUGUUGGCCGGGCGACGGUUGUCCCGGUUUAAGCGUGUAGGCUGGUUUUCCAGGCAAAUCCGGAAAAUCAAGGCUGAGGCGUGAUGACGAGGCACUACGGUGCUGAAGCAACAAAUGCCCUGCUUCCAGGAAAAGCCUCUAAGCAUCAGGUAACAUCAAAUCGUACCCCAAACCGACACAGGUGGUCAGGUAGAGAAUACCAAGGCGCUUGAGAGAACUCGGGUGAAGGAACUAGGCAAAAUGGUGCCGUAACUUCGGGAGAAGGCACGCUGAUAUGUAGGUGAAGUCCCUUGCGGAUGGAGCUGAAAUCAGUCGAAGAUACCAGCUGGCUGCAACUGUUUAUUAAAAACACAGCACUGUGCAAACACGAAAGUGGACGUAUACGGUGUGACGCCUGCCCGGUGCCGGAAGGUUAAUUGAUGGGGUUAGCCGCAAGGCGA